Molecule: ribosomal RNA, 253 nt
Filed under: uncultured bacterium
Lineage: Bacteria
Description: partial 16S ribosomal RNA
Rfam family: Bacterial small subunit ribosomal RNA
Source: RNAcentral
UACGUAGGGGGCAAGCGUUGUCCGGAAUCAUUGGGCGUAAAGCGCGUGUAGGCGGUCCGGUAAGUCCGCUGUGAAAGUCGGGGGCUUAACCCUCGGAUGCCGGUGGAUACUGUCGGGCUAGAGUACGGAAGAGGCGAGUGGAAUUCCUGGUGUAGCGGUGAAAUGCGCAGAUAUCAGGAGGAACACCAAUUGCGAAGGCAGCUCGCUGGGACGUUACUGACGCUGAGACGCGAAAGCGUGGGGAGCAAACAGG